UAAUACCGGAUAGGAGCGCCCACCGCAUGGUGGGUGUUGGAAAGAUUUAUCGGUUUUGGAUGGACUCGCGGCCUAUCAGCUUGUUGGUGAGGUAAUGGCUCACCAAGGCGACGACGGGUAGCCGGCCUGAGAGGGUGACCGGCCACACUGGGACUGAGACACGGCCCAGACUCCUACGGGAGGCAGCAGUGGGGAAUAUUGCACAAUGGGCGCAAGCCUGAUGCAGCGACGCCGCGUGAGGGAUGACGGCCUUCGGGUUGUAAACCUCUUUCAGUAGGGAAGAAGCGAAAGUGACGGUACCUGCAGAAGAAGCACCGGCUAACUACGUGCCAGCAGCCGCGGUAAUACGUAGGGUGCGAGCGUUAUCCGGAAUUAUUGGGCGUAAAGAGCUCGUAGGCGGUUUGUCGCGUCUGUCGUGAAAGUCCGGGGCUUAACCCCGGAUCUGCGGUGGGUACGGGCAGACUAGAGUGCAGUAGGGGAGACUGGAAUUCCUGGUGUAGCGGUGGAAUGCGCAGAUAUCAGGAGGAACACCGAUGGCGAAGGCAGGUCUCUGGGCUGUAACUGACGCUGAGGAGCGAAAGCAUGGGGAGCGAACAGGAUUAGAUACCCUGGUAGUCCAUGCCGUAAACGUUGGGCACUAGGUGUGGGGACCAUUCCACGGUUUCCGCGCCGCAGCUAACGCAUUAAGUGCCCCGCCUGGGGAGUACGGCCGCAAGGCUAAAACUCAAAGGAAUUGACGGGGGCCCGCACAAGCGGCGGAGCAUGCGGAUUAAUUCGAUGCAACGCGAAGAACCUUACCAAGGCUUGACAUGUUCUCGAUCGCCGUAGAGAUACGGUUUCCCCUUUGGGGCGGGUUCACAGGUGGUGCAUGGUUGUCGUCAGCUCGUGUCGUGAGAUGUUGGGUUAAGUCCCGCAACGAGCGCAACCCUCGUUCCAUGUUGCCAGCACGUAAUGGUGGGGACUCAUGGGAGACUGCCGGGGUCAACUCGGAGGAAGGUGAGGACGACGUCAAAUCAUCAUGCCCCUUAUGUCUUGGGCUUCACGCAUGCUACAAUGGCCGGUACAAUGGGUUGCGAUACUGUGAGGUGGAGCUAAUCCCAAAAAGCCGGUCUCAGUUCGGAUUGGGGUCUGCAACUCGACCCCAUGAAGUCGGAGUCGCUAGUAAUCGCAGAUCAGCAACGCUGCGGUGAAUACG
Molecule: ribosomal RNA, 1195 nt
Filed under: Micrococcus sp. BYNT3-2
Lineage: Bacteria; Bacillati; Actinomycetota; Actinomycetes; Micrococcales; Micrococcaceae
Description: bacterial SSU rRNA
Rfam family: Bacterial small subunit ribosomal RNA
Source: RNAcentral